UGUCACUCAAAGCUACACGCCCCUCAGAAUUUUUCCAGAGGAAACUGCAGCUCAAGCGGGACUCUCGAUCAGAGCCAGAGACGGGUCUGUUUGCUGGGACGUUGUCGAAUAUCUUUCAGAGAUGUACCGACAGACUCUGGUGGCACUUGCAGUGUUCUUCUACUCAUCCUUUCUGGUGAAUGGAGGCAAAGUUUUGGUGUUCCCUGUGGAUGGAAGCCACUGGGUCAACAUGAAAGUGAUCAUCGAGGAGCUUCAUGCCAGAGGUCAUGAAGUCACUGUCCUGCGGCCAUCGGACAGCUGGUACAUCAAGCCUGACUCUCCUCACUACAAAGCCAUCACUCUCAAUUCUCCUGCUGGUUUUGACAGUAAAGGCUUUGGCUCAUUUGUGACAAGAACCCUAAAUAUGCAACGCCAAGGCGCUUCCAUUUGGACUCGGAUAUCCCUAGAGUUAGACAUGCUGAAUAAUUUUAAUGAGAUGAAUAAGUUGGUACUCCAAAUGGUUGAGGAGAUAUUUGAGGACCCCAAACUGAUGCAGAGCCUCCAUGAAGCCAAAUACGAUUUAGUCCUCACAGACCCUGCAAUUGGUGGGGGUGUGCUUCUUGCUCAUCGUCUAGGUCUUCCACUUGUGCUUAACGUCAGAUGGACAAUUCAGGGUGAGGGGCAUCAAGCAAUUACCCCUUCCCCUCUUUCGUAUGUCCCCAUACCAGGAUCAGAGCUGACUGAUAAGAUGAGCUUUAAACAGCGCAUCAAGAACAUCCUCUAUUAUAUCUUUACAUGCCUCCAAAUAUGGUAUAUUACUGAACCAAACUACAAGCCAUUUGUCCAUCGCUACUUUGGCAGUGACAUCCAUUACAUGGAGCUGUUUCAGGCAGCAGACAUCUGGCUGAUGAGAAACGAUUUCACCUUAGAAUUUCCACGUCCCACAAUGCCAAACAUUGUUUACAUGUCAGGAUUUCAGUGCAAACCCUCCAAGCCUUUACCUAAGGAGCUAGAAGAUUUCGUUGAGAGUUCUGGUGAGCAUGGGGUCAUUGUGAUGACACUGGGGACCUUGGUGGAGAGGCUUCCUGAUGACAUCACUGAGGACAUUGCUGCUGCUUUUGCUGAACUUUCUCAAAAGGUGAUCUGGAAGCACAAGGGCAGGAGGCCAAACAACCUUGGCAACAACACAUUAGUUUUGGACUGGUUGCCCCAAAACGAUCUAUUGGGUCAUCCCAAGACUAGGGUGUUUGUAGCCCAUGGAGGAACCAACGGAAUCCAGGAGGCCAUCUACCAUGGCGUCCCUCUAGUUGGCCUGCCUCUCAUGUUUGAUCAGCAUGACAACUUCUUCAGGAUGCAAGCAAGAGGGGUGGCCAAAGUUUUGGACUUUGGAACACUGAAUAAAGACACGUUCCUGGAGGGCUUGAAGGAGGUUCUCUACACACCAUCCUACAGGGAGAAUAUGAAGAAACUGUCUAGCCUGCACAGAGACCAGCCAAUGAAACCACUGGACCGGGCUGUGUUCUGGAUUGAGUUUGUCAUGAGGCACAAAGGAGCGGCACAUUUGAAGACAGAUUCUUACAAGAUGACCAUGAUCCAGUACUACUCAAUGGAUGUGGCAGCCUUUCUGUUUGCAACUGUUCUACUGUUUUUGCUUGUUUCCUUCUCUGCUGUAAAGUUUCUCAUUAGGCAGAUAUUUGACAGAAGUAAAGUCAAGAAGGAAUGACACAUUAGCUCAGCCACAGAUGCCCAAUCACAUCGGGGCGAAUGAUCAGUUUAGUGCAGGGUUGGGCAAAUAUUUUGACUCGUGGCCACAUAGGGCUCUAAAAUUGGAUACAAGGGCCGGAUCAGGAGAAGAUGCGUGGAGUGAGAAAGAAAUAAGAUAUAAUCUGGAUGAAAAUAUUCGGAUUUAAAAUUAUAUUUUAAAACAGAACAUUUGAGAUUUUUUAGGUUAAACUUUUGUUCUCAUUUUAGAGCCGAUUGCACCAACGGCUUGAUGUACCUCGUUUAAAACUUGGAGAAAUGCUUCAUUCAUGUCUGUUUGAAUGAUGGAAGAAUGAAAAACAACACAUCUUCCAACACCACUUGGAUGCUAGAGCAGGUCCCCAAACAUUUUCUUAUGAGGGCCACAAUAACUCUGUUUCUUUAAACUUCUUUUAUCUUUCUUAUAUCGUAAAGCAGUGUGACAUAGAAAGGAAAGACUGUCUUCUGUUCUGUUUGACAGAGAUUUUAGAGGCUUUCAGGUUGGAGCACAGACUGCAGAAUAAUGGAAGAAAAUGUCACAUCUUGAUCGUGAUAAAAAUAAAAAACAUGGGUCUCUGAUAUUGUUCAGUGGGCCGGACCAAACAUGGAGGCGGGCCGGAUCCAGCCCGCGGGCCGUAUUUUGCCCACCCCUGGUUUAGUCUGUAAUAUUUUCUUAUCAAUGUUCUUUCCUGUUGUUAAGUUUUUGUUGAGAAAAAAACAGCUGAACGCAUCGCAAGAAUCAACAAAUAUGUAUAUAUUUACAAUGAUCACAUCAGUUUUGCAAAAUCAAAACUUUAAAGUGUUUGAGCAAAACCACUGCAAUGUACAUGCAUUCUUCUUUAAAAUGCUUCCAUGUAUACAAUCUGCACUAUUUAAACAUUGAUGGUCUUUGAAGUCAUUAGACCUAACAGCAGCUUUAAGACUGCAGUGGAUACAUCCAAGGAAUCAAACAUCCAACCACAGUUUAAAUACUUCUCAUCAUUUUGUGACUUCAACUUCUCUGCUAUAUUGUACAUAGCAUUGGAGGACAUGGGUCCUGUAAAGAUGACGUACAUCAUCUUUACACUUAAAAUUCUAAAACUCUGAAGUUUCAAAGGUCAAAGAAUAUUAAAAGGUUUUAAAAUGUCUUUAAACAUCCAAAGGAACUCCAGUUGUUCACUGAAGAGCUUUACAGUUUACAUACAUUUAGCUGCUUUUGGAAUCAAACUGCCGUCAUACCAUCGCUACUUUAACCAUAUUUAAAACAGACCUCCUCAAACUAAUUAGAAUAAAAGUUCUGUGUGUAAAACUUUGAAUAUUCCUAAUAUUUAGAAGACAGUUUCCAUCAAGGCAAACACGGAGCUGAAGGAGGAGAAAAAUGGAUGUGGAGGUGUUUGGCUUUCUGAUAUCUUCUAGCAGAAAUAUUUGAUCAAAAGUCCCUCAGAAAUCCGACAACAAGUCGUUAAACCAACAACUGUUUGACAGAACUGGUGAUGGUCCCUGUCUGACAGUAAAAGGAGGUACUGAACAUCAUUACAGUCUCUAAUCAUCUCUGACAUUCUACUCUAAACUUUGAGCAACAUUUUAUAUUAUAUUUCUAUAAAUCAGUGAGGUGUUGAAAUAUGAAGUCAAGCUUCCAAAUAAAGUCUACCCAUGCAUAAGUGUCUUCUAGUAGUAAAAAGUGAGCCACUGCUAUGUUUAACUGGAUGAAAAAAAUACCUAAACUUUUGCUUUUUUGGGACUUUUUCCAGAAAGUGUCAUAAGAAAACGUGAAUCUUUGUUGUUGUUUAUGUUUCCAUGGGGGCCGUACACACUGCCAGGGUACAACCACUGCCUUAUGGGGGAGUUUGACCAGUGAAGAAUCAAAUCAUCUGAACACAGACUCUCCCUAAUUCACACUCCCACACACAUGCACCCCCCCCCCCCCCCAUUCACCUUCUGAAAAGUGAAAGAAUAAACUGUUCACAGAAAUA
This is an RNA transcript of Oryzias latipes (Japanese medaka), 3671 nucleotides long. It is a transcript of the gene named UDP-glucuronosyltransferase 2B31 pseudogene, with no coding region annotated. The record is from RefSeq and is a predicted model, not a curated record. NCBI's taxonomy places the organism in Eukaryota, Metazoa, Chordata, Actinopteri, Beloniformes, Adrianichthyidae.